Molecule: transfer RNA, 70 nt
Filed under: Lialis jicari
Lineage: Eukaryota; Metazoa; Chordata; Lepidosauria; Squamata; Pygopodidae
Description: tRNA-Met
Source: RNAcentral
AGUAAAGUCAGCUAAAUAAGCUUUCGGGCCCAUACCCCGAAAAUGUUGGUUUUCAAUCCCUCCUUUACUA